Molecule: ribosomal RNA, 440 nt
Filed under: uncultured bacterium
Lineage: Bacteria
Description: partial 16S ribosomal RNA
Rfam family: Bacterial small subunit ribosomal RNA
Source: RNAcentral
CCUACGGGAGGCAGCAGUGGGGAAUAUUGCACAAUGGGGGAAACCCUGAUGCAGCGACGCCGCGUGAGUGAAGAAGUAAUUCGUUAUGUAAAGCUCUAUCAGCAGGGAAGAAAAUGAAGGUACCUGAGGCAGAAGCUAUGGCUAACGACGUAACAGAAGCGGCGGUAACACGGAGGGGGCAAGCGUUAUCCGGAUUUACUGGGUGUAAAGGGAGCGUAGACGGGAGUGCAAGUCUGGAGUGAAAGGCGGGGGCUCAACCCCCGGACUGCUGUGGAAACUGUACGGCUGGAGUGCAGUAGAGGUAAGUGGAAUUCCUAGUGUAGCGGUGAAAUGCGUAGAUAUUAGGAAGAACUCCGGUGGCGAAGGCGGCUUACUGGACUGUAACUGACGUUGAUGCUCGAAAGCGUGGGGAGCAAACAGGAUUAGAUACCCGAGUAGUC